UACGUAGGGUGCAAGCGUUAUCCGGAAUUAUUGGGCGUAAAGAGCUCGUAGGCGGUUUGUCGCGUCUGCUGUGAAAACUGGAGGCUCAACCUCCAGCCUGCAGUGGGUACGGGCAGACUAGAGUGCGGUAGGGGAGAUUGGAAUUCCUGGUGUAGCGGUGGAAUGCGCAGAUAUCAGGAGGAACACCGAUGGCGAAGGCAGCCUCCUGGGCCAACACUGACGCUGAGGUGCGAAAGCGUGGGGAGCAAACAGG
This 253-nucleotide ribosomal RNA is filed under the name uncultured bacterium. Its description in RNAcentral is "partial 16S ribosomal RNA". It matches the Rfam family "Bacterial small subunit ribosomal RNA", at positions 524 to 776 of the family's 1533-position model. The record is from RNAcentral.